CCGCUUCAUCAAGAGAAGGGCUGGCGCCCUCGCCAACCUGCCAACCGGGCAAGGUGGUUUCCGCACUCGGGAUGUGGCUGUGCCGGAAUUUCUGGUUUCAGCAACCAAGCGGUUCUUC
This 118-nucleotide non-coding RNA is filed under the name Roseibium sp. TrichSKD4. RNAcentral describes it as "SAM-I/IV (S-adenosyl methionine) riboswitch aptamer". It matches the Rfam family "SAM-I/IV (S-adenosyl methionine) riboswitch aptamer". Rfam says of the family: It is found upstream of a number of genes which code for proteins involved in methionine or cysteine biosynthesis. It has been found mostly in the order Actinomycetales. RNAcentral also lists the same sequence under 1 other name. The record is from Rfam by way of RNAcentral. Lineage: Bacteria; Pseudomonadati; Pseudomonadota; Alphaproteobacteria; Hyphomicrobiales; Stappiaceae.